Molecule: long non-coding RNA, 1782 nt
Organism: Calidris pygmaea (Spoon-billed sandpiper)
Lineage: Eukaryota; Metazoa; Chordata; Aves; Charadriiformes; Scolopacidae
Source: Ensembl
CAGUAACAAUUGUUUUAAAAAAAACUUUAUUUCCAAACUGAGAGCAAAGAAAGGGAAGUACUGAAUAAAUAUGUAACUAUAACAAAACGCAUAGUUGCUAUAUAAGGAUCGCAUCCAUAGGUUCUACAUAUGUGCUGUUGUGAAUUUGCAUCAGUAGUUCUUUUGGUGUAGUUUGAUGGGACCAUAAAUGGUUAUGUGGAAGAGAAGAUGAUUUUCCCCCAGACUGAGCGUGGCAGCUGUGCCAUCCUACCCUUCAUGACAACCACUAUCAACAGCAUUAGGAGGCCUGUAAACAGCCUAACUAAAAAGCACCGCAGAGUCAAUUCUUUUAGUCAAAGAGCACAUUACCAGUGGGCAUCAUCACAGGAGGGAGAGAGGUGAUCGAGGAAGAGCUCUGCAGGCUUCCACUGCACCAUACUUUACGAGCCAAAUUCAUUUCAAAUUCUCUGAAGCUGAUUAAAUUCCAUCUUUGAGGCCCUGUAGAUCUUGCAAACUAAAGCCCUGAUCCUCCAAAUAGAUGUAACAGCACAUAACCUGAUGUCCAGAUAGCACCUGACUGAUAUUCCUACAAAUUUGAGUGGUUUCAGUGUUCUCAGGGUAAAUUUGCAAAAUUGGCUUCUGUUUUUUUUUAAUACUUGCUUUUAAAUUAAAAAAUAAGUAUAUCUGUCUGGUGCACCGAAGAUUUCCCUACCAGAAAUACUUAUCUGGGAGAGCACACACUCACUGGCAAACAGCUGCUUUUAAGUAGGAGUUUUCAAGCUCAAGGGAAACUGUUGUUCCCUCUCUGGUGGGUUGCAGGGGAAACCCAAAUAAUGAUGAAUGGCAAAGAAAUGGAACAAUGACCAAUUUGUCUGGCUGUCAGAGGAAACUGCCACAGAAGUGGCUACACUGCCAUCUUGUCAGGUUUUCCAGUAAAUGGAGUGAGAAAGUAGAAGAGGAAGAAGGUCAAGUUGCUUAUAUGAAAAACAGAACCACUACAGCCACCUGGACCAAGGCUAUUGCUGGAGAACAGAGAGCAGGGACAGAUCUCUGCCAUUCCCGGCUUUUCUCUUGGGUUCCAGCAGGUAUCUGGGGACCAGCAUGCUUGUCACUGGUGCCAGCGAUGGUGUUCCAGUGUUCACACAAGACUUGGCACAUACAGGGCUAACGGGUCUCAGUGGUAGUGUGCCAGCCGGGAGAUGUUGUCUUCGGGCCACUGACAGCUUAAAGGUGAACAGUUUAAAGAUUAUUUUAUCUGGGGUUGUGCUGCUAACAGCAGCUGUUAGCUGGCAAUCUCUUUUUCUUCAUUCCAAGGUCCAGAGUUGAAUGGGUUCUCCAUUGAAGGUGGACUUUGUGUCCAAAGACAGGUCUGUAGUUGAUGCUCCCAGUCCUUUUACUCUUUUUAGCCUACAGUCUGCAUGCAGAUAGAGCAUUUCUCAAGGAUGUGUUCACCCAGGAUGUGUAAAUAAUAAGAGCAAGAGAACAAGGUGGAGAAUAGAAUGGGGAAUUUGACAGCAUGAAGGAUGCCUCCCAAAGUAAAGAGCAGCUUCUGGGCCCAAAGUCUGGGAAUUUAAGGGAAGAUCUGAGGAUACUCAGAAAGAAGUUAUAAUGUACAAGGUACAUUAGAAAAAUCACAUUUUGCCAAGUGGACGUACACAAUUAAAUAUUUCCCUAUGACUAUGAGAGCACAUUUUUAACAGUUUUCAGUGACUCCCUUUUUGCCUGUAUCCCUGCCUCUUAACACGUGAAAUCUCUGCUUACGAAGAAAAUGGCAAAAUAAACUGUUCCCAAGAGUUAUAUUCA